RNAcentral lists this ribosomal RNA (265 nucleotides) under uncultured bacterium. Its description in RNAcentral is "partial 16S ribosomal RNA". It matches the Rfam family "Bacterial small subunit ribosomal RNA", at positions 28 to 293 of the family's 1533-position model. The record is from RNAcentral.
GACUAACGCUGGCGGCGUGCUUAACACAUGCAAGUCGAGCGGUAAGGCCCUUUCGGGGGUACACGAGCGGCGAACGGGUGAGUAACACGUGGGUGACCUGCCCUCAGCCCUGGGAUAAGCCUGGGAAACCGGGUCUAAUACCGGAUAUGACUCCAUGACGCAUGUUGUGGGGGUGGAAAGCCUUGUGCGGCUGAGGAUGGGCCCGCGGCCUAUCAGCUUGUUGGUGGGGUGAUGGCCUACCAAGGCGACGACGGGUAGCCGGCCU